RNAcentral lists this unclassified non-coding RNA (171 nucleotides) under fungal sp. Its description in RNAcentral is "partial internal transcribed spacer region". The stretch from base 1 to 46 matches the Rfam family "Eukaryotic small subunit ribosomal RNA", at positions 1786 to 1831 of the family's 1831-position model. The record is from RNAcentral. Lineage: Eukaryota; Fungi.
AAGUCGUAACAAGGUUUCCGUAGGUGAACCUGCGGAAGGAUCAUUAGCACGUAUCCAACGUUAAACCCCCCGUGAACCAAUGCCGUGAACCCCACAGUUUCCCAUUAGGGCCGCGAUAAUCCGCAGCCCAAAAAACCCGAACAACUGUUAACAAUGGAUAUCUUGGUUCUC